UGGGGUAAUCGGAUAGCCGCUCCAUGUGAGAGGAAAGUCCGGGCUUCAUAGGGCAGGAUGCUUCCUAACUGGAAGCCGCGCACCUAAGGUGCGGGAGGAAAGUGCCACAGAAAAUAUACCGCCCAGCACCUUUGGUGACACAUGAGAUCGAUAGAAUGUGUCUGCACACGGAAUGUUGACGUCCUUCAGAGAACCGGAGGCAGUAAUCCGUUGAGAACACUACAAGCGAUCUCAUAAGAAUGGCUGUAUGUCAUGGCUUAAUGCUUUGUCAAACCGCUGCAUUUCUGAUAAAGCAACAAUGUACAGCUUGUUGUAUCACCAAAGGUGCUGGGUAAGGGUGAAAUGGCGAGGUAAGAGCUCACCACUCUGAUGGUGACAUCAGAGGUACGGCAAACCCCAUCCGAAGCAAAACCAAGCAGUUCCAGUAGAGGCGGCCCGCCUUCCCCCGCACCUGUGGCGGCAUAUGAGAUCGAUGCAACGAGUGCUUAGAGGAAACAUAUCCGUCCUUCAAAGAAUUGGAGGAGGAAUUCUCUUGAGUGUUCUACAAGCGAUCUCAGAACAAUGGCUGCAUCUUGCACCUUUGAGUUUUAUCAACUUGUUGAGUUAAUGAUACAGCAACAGCGUGCAGCUUGUUAUGCCACCAAAGGUGCGGGGCUGGAACGGGUAGGUUGCGCAGAACCCGGCAGUGAUGCCGGGACAAGAGAAAUGGCUAUCUAUUACAGAACCCGGCUUAUAGAUUACCCCACAUC
This 749-nucleotide RNase P RNA is filed under the name Caldifarciminota bacterium. Its description in RNAcentral is "RNase P RNA component class A". It matches the Rfam family "Bacterial RNase P class A". Rfam says of the family: Ribonuclease P (RNase P) is a ubiquitous endoribonuclease, found in archaea, bacteria and eukarya as well as chloroplasts and mitochondria. The record is from RNAcentral. Lineage: Bacteria; Pseudomonadati; Caldifarciminota.